This 342-nucleotide long non-coding RNA is filed under the name Physcomitrium patens. RNAcentral describes it as "long non-coding RNA (PPAT_LNC006658)". The record is from RNAcentral. Lineage: Eukaryota; Viridiplantae; Streptophyta; Bryopsida; Funariales; Funariaceae.
GGCGGCGGUUGCUGCGGAGGCAUACCUGGGCGAGGUCCGUACAUACCAGGGGGUGCACCAGGAGGAGGCAUACCAGGUCUUGGAGGUCCCUGCAUGCCAGGAGGCAUUCCAGGUCGAGGAGGACCGCCAGGGCCUCCCAUACCUGGAGGAGGGCCGCGCAUCAUCGGGGGAGGACCCAUGGGUCGCUGUCCAUAAGGACCUGGAAUGCCUGGUCCAGACAUCUGCGGAGGAGGACCAGGAGGAGGCGGCAUUGGCCUUCCACCAGGAGGACCUUGUCCAUACCCUUGAGGAGGUGCUUGUCCAGGGGGACCUUGCAUCAUCUGACCAGGAGGGCCAGGAGGG